This 484-nucleotide ribosomal RNA is filed under the name uncultured bacterium. Its description in RNAcentral is "partial 16S ribosomal RNA". It matches the Rfam family "Bacterial small subunit ribosomal RNA", at positions 28 to 507 of the family's 1533-position model. The record is from RNAcentral.
AUUGAACGCUGGCGGCAUGCUUUACACAUGCAAGUCGAACGGCAGCGCGGGCUUCGGCCUGGCGGUGAGUGGCGAACGGGUGAGUAAUGCAUCGGAACGCGCCCAGUAGUGGGGGAUAGCCCGGCGAAAGCCGGAUUAAUACCGCAUACGACCUGAGGGUGAAAGCGGGGGACCGAAAGGCCUCGCGCUAUUGGAGCGGCCGAUGUCGGAUUAGCUAGUUGGUGGGGUAAAGGCUUACCAAGGCGACGAUCCGUAGCUGGUCUGAGAGGACGACCAGCCACACUGGGACUGAGACACGGCCCAGACUCCUACGGGAGGCAGCAGUGGGGAAUUUUGGACAAUGGGGGCAACCCUGAUCCAGCCAUGCCGCGUGCGGGAAGAAGGCCUUCGGGUUGUAAACCGCUUUUGUUCGGGAAGAAAUCCUCUGGGCUAAUACCCCGGGGGGAUGACGGUACCGGAAGAAUAAGCACCGGCUAACUACGUG